CGUCAAUGGGAAAGGUGUUGUGUUUUUAUUGGGAAGUGGCUUUGUCGUGCUGUGAACAGGCAGGUCUGGGUGGACGUAGAGAGAACGAGAGAGGGAGAAAAAUGCUACGUGGCACCAGAAAAAUAUGUGCAUUUUAGCAUUUUAAAGAUAUUUCGGAUGUCAUUUUCUAUGGUCUUUUGGCUAUCGUGCGCCUCUAGGAAUUUUCGUCUCGUGAAUCUCUCGUACUUUAAUUUACCCUGUUUUUCUUUUUAUGGAAAAACAAAGACGUUUCAUUAUCUGUU
This is a long non-coding RNA of Arabidopsis thaliana (thale cress), 281 nucleotides long. RefSeq annotates it as other RNA. The record is from RefSeq. Lineage: Eukaryota; Viridiplantae; Streptophyta; Magnoliopsida; Brassicales; Brassicaceae. The transcript has a single exon.